GUGGAGGAUGAGCCGGAACUUGGGAUUGUAUUCACAUUCUUUGUCUCCAAUUUUAAUGAAUCUGGAACAUAAAGGCUCAUGUGAAGGUGUCCUGAUGACAUAGAACAGGAUGAGUACUGAAACCACAAGGCUAAAAUGAAGGGAGGCAUGAGGGAUGUCAAGGCCCAAGCCACUGAAGCCUGGUGGGUGCUGGCCAGACAUUCUCAGUGCCAUUCAAGUCCCUUCACGUGGUAACUUUCCCACAGGUUGAGUGGGCCCGUCAUGUGAAUGUUGGCUACUGAAAAGGUAUAAACAUUUUGAAAACAUUCUCUUUGCACCAACUGUUCCUUUAGUUAAAAUAACUUGAGUCAAGAGUCUUUGAAAAUGCAGUUCUUGUUAUAUUUUCUGGAAGAGACUGAAAAAUAUAAAAAUUAUCGG
RNAcentral lists this long non-coding RNA (417 nucleotides) under Homo sapiens (human). Its description in RNAcentral is "HSALNT0388505". Lineage: Eukaryota; Metazoa; Chordata; Mammalia; Primates; Hominidae. The record is from RNAcentral.